This 74-nucleotide transfer RNA is filed under the name Micromonospora sp. WMMD812. RNAcentral describes it as "tRNA-Cys". It matches the Rfam family "tRNA". Rfam says of the family: Transfer RNA (tRNA) molecules are approximately 80 nucleotides in length. Their secondary structure includes four short double-helical elements and three loops (D, anti-codon, and T loops). Further hydrogen bonds mediate the characteristic L-shaped molecular structure. tRNAs have two regions of fundamental functional importance: the anti-codon, which is responsible for specific mRNA codon recognition, and the 3' end, to which the tRNAs corresponding amino acid is attached (by aminoacyl-tRNA synthetases). tRNAs cope with the degeneracy of the genetic code in two manners: having more than one tRNA (with a specific anti-codon) for a particular amino acid; and 'wobble' base-pairing, i.e. permitting non-standard base-pairing at the 3rd anti-codon position. The record is from RNAcentral. Lineage: Bacteria; Bacillati; Actinomycetota; Actinomycetes; Micromonosporales; Micromonosporaceae.
GGUCGUAUGCCCGAGUGGUGAGGGAGCCGCCUGCAAAGCGGCGUACCGGGGUUCGAUUCCCCGUGCGGCCUCCA